Long non-coding RNA from Brachypodium distachyon (stiff brome), 1955 nucleotides. RefSeq lists it as uncharacterized. The transcript is spliced from 2 exons. The record is from RefSeq and is a predicted model, not a curated record. Lineage: Eukaryota; Viridiplantae; Streptophyta; Magnoliopsida; Poales; Poaceae.
UUUUGUGUAUGACUGUGUCCUUUUGCUCAAUGUGUCCUUAAUCCUUACCAAGUUAACUAACUCGUGGUCGCGAGUAAGCAACACCCAUAACCAAUAUUUUUUUUCUAACAAAUUUUAUUGUGCAGCGCAAACCUAGCUGAAACAAAACAUCUCUUCUCUAUCUCUACUGUACUUGUGAAGUCACGAAUUUGAGUGAAAGUCCGCCUGGCAGGAGAAUAUUCCCUGGUCCUCUCAAAAUUCUCUGCCCGCCCGCACGUCCCAAAGCCGUAGCGCCAAAUCCCCGCGCGCCCCGCCGCCGCCGUCGCACGAUGCCCGUCCCGUCCCGCGCGCCUCGCCGCUGUCGGUCCUGUCCCUGACCGCGACCCGCUCGCCGCUCGCGCCCAGCCGCCGUCGGUCCGGUCCCCAACCUCGACCUGCUCGCCGUCAAGGUCCGCUCGCGCGCCGCCGCCGAUCUCCUCUCGCGAGCCGUCGCCGCCAAUCUUCGUUCGCGAGCCGCCGCCACCGCCUCGAUCCCCUCACGCGAACCUCUCGCGAGACACCGCCGAUCUCCGCUCGCGAGCCGUCGCCACUGAUCUCCUCUCGCGAGCCGCCGCCGCCGAUCCCCACCGUCUCAUUCUCACGGGAGGCACGCGACCAGGUUCUUAAUUCCGCCUUUCCGUUCUUCUUCUUCUCUUCUACAGAAACCCCUCAGAUGUGGAAGCUUCGGCUCCCUUCUCUGCUCCCUGUGCUGCUGUGAUGCCUUGCUGAGUCCAGAAGGCGGCGCCCCGGACCAACAGUUGUGCGACGCGAGGAUUGGGUAACGGAGCCGCGUUUGAGUGGCGGGGGAGGUGGUAACCACACGCCUCCCUUGCAACGGCCUUCUGAGAUUGAAAGAAGAGUCAGAGUUGUGAUUGAAAAAUUUGCUGAGCAUGGCCUGCGGUCACUUGGUGUGGCGUUCCAGGUUUGAGAUAUCAUCACCUCGCUGUAGACCUUUAGUUGCAUAAUACAUGAAUGCUAUUGUCAAAGUGAUAGUUCUUGAUCAUUGUGCAGUAUUAUGGAACUAUCUUCGUUACAUGCCACUCUGUGUACAGUUUAGUCCAAAAGUAUUCCCUUUUUUAGCAAAAAUAAUGAGUAGAUACAAUAGCUUUUUCUAUAUAGAUGUCAUGCUAGAGAUUCUCAUUUGAGAGAACAAUUGUUUGGGUGCCGACAGUAUAAAUGAUGAUCUGCUUUUAUGCAUACAUUUUAUCAGAGAACAAAAUAUUGGAUAAUAUUGUUGAGUUAUUGUCUUUUUAAAUAUUGUUUCAAAUUACCGUUGAAUGAGAUAAUCAGAAUAAGUUAGUGCUUGUCGUUUUAUGCAGGUAUACUACAAUGAAGAAAUACUGAGUGUGCCUGUGGCGAUGAUAUAAGGAAAAUGUGAGGUUACAAACCUUCCAGAUUCAAAUCUUCCGGUGGUGGUUGAUCAUCUCUUCUACUGUGAUCAUUUAUAUGAUCCUGGUACUGGAGCUUUCAAGCAGGCCAGCUAUUGGCAGAUUCUGUUUUUGGUUCCCCAAUACUUUUGCCCUUUUUUCAAUGAGAAACUUCUUCAGGUGCACCUACUUCAAAAAAGAACAAAGGAAAGCAGAUUUGUGACAGUGAUCAAGCUGGUUCAGAUAAACAGAAGGCUGCAGCAUCAGAGAACAGUCUUGCAACCUUUGAUAUUUUUGCCGGCUGUGGAGGCUUGUCUGAAGGGUUGCAACUAUCUGGUGCAUCACGUACAAAAUGGGCAAUUGAAUAUGAAGAACCUGAUGGGUAAGCAUUUGGUGAAAAUCAUCCAGAAGCUGCAGUAUUUGUGGAGAACUGCAAUGUGAUUCUGAAGUAUGAAAUCCAUUUUUCCGUUUGUGUACUUAACAUAUUACUCCUGUAUUUUUUUCUUCGAGAAAACGCAAAGCUUGCGUCUCGAUGCAUUGAUAGAAAGAAAGUAUUUACAAGCCCAAGAA